GGGGGUGCAAGCGUUGUCCGGAAUCAUUGGGUGUAAAGCGUUCGUAGGCGGCACGUCAAGUUUGGUGUUAAAGCCCGGGGCUCAACUCCGGUUCUGCAUUGAAUACUGGCGAGCUAGAAUGCGGUAGAGGUGAUGGGAAUUCCUGGUGUAGCGGUGAAAUGCGUAGAUAUCAGGAGGAACACCGGUGGCGAAAGCGCAUCACUGGGCCGUUAUUGACGCUGAGGAACGAAAGCCAGGGGAGCAAA
Molecule: ribosomal RNA, 245 nt
Filed under: uncultured bacterium
Lineage: Bacteria
Description: partial 16S ribosomal RNA
Rfam family: Bacterial small subunit ribosomal RNA
Source: RNAcentral